UGCGGUAUUUUAACUGUACUAAGGUAGCAUAAUAAUUUGCCUUAUAAUUUGAGGCUAGAAUGAAUGGUUUGACGAAGGUUAAUCUGUCUCUAUCCUAUUUUUUAGAAUUUAAUUUUUAUAGUGAAAAAGCUUAUAUUUUUUAAAGGGACGAGAAGACCCUACUGAGCUUAUAAUUUUAUUAUUAUUUGUUUGUAUAUAGUAAGUAAGUAUAUAAAUUUUAAUUGGGGUGAUUAAGGAAUAAGAUGUUAAUAAAGUAACUUCCUUAAGUUAAAUAUUGUUAGAUGAAGUAACCAAUACUAUUGCUUAUAAUAUAGCUACCAUAGGGAUAACAGCGUAAUUUAUUUAGAGAGUUCUUAUCAAUAAAUAAGAUUGCGACCUCGAUGUUGGAUUA
Molecule: ribosomal RNA, 391 nt
Filed under: Joubiniteuthidae environmental sample cf. Joubiniteuthis portieri
Lineage: Eukaryota; Metazoa; Mollusca; Cephalopoda; Oegopsida; Joubiniteuthidae
Description: partial 16S ribosomal RNA
Rfam family: Bacterial large subunit ribosomal RNA
Source: RNAcentral